This 440-nucleotide ribosomal RNA is filed under the name Acinetobacter baumannii. RNAcentral's name for it is "bacterial SSU rRNA". It matches the Rfam family "Bacterial small subunit ribosomal RNA", at positions 338 to 795 of the family's 1533-position model. Lineage: Bacteria; Pseudomonadati; Pseudomonadota; Gammaproteobacteria; Moraxellales; Moraxellaceae. The record is from RNAcentral.
CCUACGGGUGGCUGCAGUGGGGAAUAUUGGACAAUGGGGGCAACCCUGAUCCAGCAACGCCGCGUGGGUGAAGAAGGCCUUCGGGUUGUAAAGCCCUUUCGACGGGGACGAUGAUGACGGUACCCGUAGAAGAAGCCCCGGCUAACUUCGUGCCAGCAGCCGCGGUAAUACGAAGGGGGCUAGCGUUGUUCGGAAUUACUGGGCGUAAAGGGCGCGUAGGCGGACCUGCCAGUCAGGGGUGAAAUCCCGGGGCUCAACCUCGGAAUUGCCUUUGAUACUGUAGGUCUUGAGGACGGGAGAGGGUCGUGGAAUUCCCAGUGUAGAGGUGAAAUUCGUAGAUAUUGGGAAGAACACCGGUGGCGAAGGCGGCGACCUGGACCGUAUCUGACGCUGAGGCGCGAAAGCGUGGGGAGCAAAUAGGAUUAGAUACCCCGGUAGUC